UAAACCUAAUACAAGUUUCUGUGUAUUUAUUUGGGCCUAACUCGGGCAGGCAGCUGGCGCAGAGCACACACGUGGCGGUGGGCGUGCGGCAGCUUUUGGCAGAAAGAUUUAUCAUAACACCAGGAUGCCAUCUUAUUGUCAGGCAAGGCAAAUGGCAGGUUCUCUCCCAACCACUGUCUCAGCAGGUGCAACUGGGAACAUACAUGUGUCCUGGAAGUACAAGUACGAGAGAGGGCUCGUCAAAGGCAGUGCAUGUAUGAACAUGUGUAUUUCUAAGUGUGCUUGUGGGAAAUACGUGUGCAUAUAUGCAUUUCUGCAUGCAUAUUCUGGCAUGCAUUAUGAGUGCAUGUAUGUGAACCUGUGUGCUUAUGAACUUGGUGUGUAUCUGUGUAUCCGUGUGAUUGUGAAGGUGUGCCUGCAUGCAUGUGUGUGCGUGAAAGUGUGCGUCAGUGCAUAUACAUACAUGAGUGUGUGUUCACAUGUGCGUUGAGGAAGAUGGUGUCUGGAUAUGUGGAACGAGUGAGAGAAUUCAACUUAGGUCAUACGAGGUAUGUUACAGCUGCCAUUUACCACCUCUUUCCCCUUAGGCUCUGCAGGGCUCUUGCUCCCCCAGCCCUUCACAGAGGUGCGAAAGCCCAUGUUAUCAGACCUUCAGAAGCAGCGGUGGCUCCUCAGAUCAGAUGGGCACACAGCUGGUGCCCGACAUGUCUGCCUGGGACUCCUGGUUUAGAGGACUCCUUCCAGACACUGGGAAGAUGGGCCCUAAUUCACUAACACAGCAUGAACCCCACGUCUGUUUCCUUUGACCAUCUCUUCUUCCUGCCCAGUGCUUGAGGGUGACACAAGGCACUGCUUGUCGUGGAAAUCAGGGUUCUUGGCUUGUUUUGUGCUCACGUGUUUUCCAUAAAUAAUCCAUAUAACAAAGGGAACAGAUAAACAGAGGGGAGAGAAGGUUGUGGGCACCCACACUCUGUAGAGGAGCUCCCCACAGCUGUGUCAAGGACAACGGGCACAUGGAUGUGAUGUAAUUCCAUUGGACCCAGGACCUAGCUAGGAAUAGACCUCUGGAUGCCAGCUCUCACCUGACUGCCACCUGUGCCAGGAGGGCCUUGUCUUAUGGAAGUCCCUUCCACUCUCUGCCAGCAGGUGCUUUGUAGCAUCUCAACUUAGAGACAUGGACAUAGGGACUUUGAGUGGCAUCAGGCAAAUGGCAGGGUUUUAGGAAUCCAGGAAGAGCUUCGUGCUAUAGGCAUUUGCAGCAACUAGAGAAUACUUCCUGCAGAAGGUGGUGCAGUCUAACUCCCUUGGUCUUGGGAGUCCUGGUGGCUUGCUUCCCAUGUGAGAUCUUAGUGGAGACAUCCUCUUUGAGCCUGCUUCCCUCCUGUCUUCUUUAGAGUAUUUACUUGCACCUGGAUGCCACAGCGCAGAUACCUACAAUGGUAGCCCUCAGAAGACCUCAGCAACAGCUGGAGGAAGACUACUGCAAUCACAAGAGGCUGUCCAGUCUCAACAGAAAAUGGUAACUCACCAUCUGGCAGAAGGGUAAGUGACUUGAAGGUGGAGAAACCUUGCUCAACACAAGGACAUCCCCACCACUGGCCUCUUUAGCCUCCGAUUUCUCUUGUUCCUAAAGUAGGGGUCCACCCUACUUUGCUCCACCAGCCCAGAAUCCACCGACAUGGAAGACGAAGCCUGCGACUGGAAAAUGACCACGCCCACACUGUGGUUCACAAUCGCUCCGCACUUUUAUUGUUCACAUUCUUCGCACGGCAGAUACAGAACCGUCUUCUCGCGUGACCUAGAACCACGCUAGAAGACCUCCACUGAACAGGAGACACCACGCUUGACAAAACUUUCUCCUCGUUUUCCUGACAAUCUGGGAAGUGCUGAAGGGUGACCCAGCACAAUUUGCUCAUGCAAAGAGAGGGAGAGAGACAGAGAGAGGGGGGGAAGAGGGAAUCCCCCAAGAGCCCAGCAACGUUUUCCAGAGUUUUCCCAAGUUUGGCUGAAAGCAGCUUGCCAAGGCUUCGGGUUCGUGAGUUUUCCUGGCUGCUGGGACAGGCUGAGACGGUCUGUGUGAUCAGCUGUGAGGCAUACUGUGUCAGUGGGGUUAGCAACAGCCACAGUCCAUGCUUGCAAGGAUUAACUGCAGAGUGUGUAAAAGAAAAAUUCUAGUUGAAGAAAUGAAAAAGGGUACAGCAGAGUUUAGCUGGGUGGGUGAACAGGAAAACGGUAACGCUGGACAAUGAUGGAUGGUUUUCUGCCCAUGUGAGGGUCUCUAGGGUCCCCUUUUCCUGGACCAGUCAGUCCCCUUACUGCAGCCAGCCGACUGAUUAAUUAAAUAACGUGUUAUAAAACUUUAAAAAUGGAGCAUUUACAGUCGGGACCAUAAAUACGUGCUUUUAAAAGUGUCUACAUACAUAUUUACAGAGUUGUAAGAUCAACCGUAGUAACCCUGAAACAGGAAACCGCUUUCGUGUAUGACAACUCUCCCAAGUUCUGUCCUCCCUCUUUGACAUGUUGGGACCAGAAUGGAGCUGAGGAAACAGCACCAAAAUUGUCUCAGGCAUCCUCCACCCCAAAGGCACAAAACCCAAGAACUUCAGUGACCCAGCUAACUUAAAAAGUUCAGAUGGUAAAAAAAUGUAGGCGGUCCCACCAAAUGAGGCGAAGAAGGGCACAGGAGGGUCACACCUCCACCUCACAGUCCCUAACCACUGAUUCUUCUAAAGAAGAGGACCAGACUGAGGAAGUCCCAGCGGUGGCAAACAGCUCAAGAAGCACAAAGCAGGGUCAAGGAACUCUUUUAAAAAAUUGAAGAGAGGGAGAUGCCCCACCCACUCACCCACCCACCCCGGGCAGGAUGGCUGCACCACAGAGCACGGUUCUGGGCCAUGUCCAAGGAUCAUCUGGAGGAUGACGCAAAGGCUGCUGCCCUCCUGCUCCCAAGGCUGGGACCUUGGCUUGAAGACCACAUGCAUGCACCAGCACCUACACAUGCUCUUUCUCUCUCUCUCUCUCUCUCUCUCUCUCUCUCUCGCUCACUCUCACUCUCGCUCUCUUGCUUUCACAACUGGGAGAGGUCAGUACUCUCUGCAGGGCAGAACGCUGGUCCCUUUGGCUUCACUGAUUCCAGGUCACUUCAGGUGCUGAGGAGAAACAAAGAGAAAAUGACAAUGGUGGCCACACACUCACUGCCUUCCACGGCUUUUCAUGUUUCCCUGUUUAAUAAUUAUUCUAUUAAGCAGUUGACUAAAGUGUAAAGACAUAUGGAUAAGAGCCCCAUUUGAUGAAUUUUCAUAGCAUCUAUCAAGCUUCAGAGGAAGACACAGAACAUUACCCCCAACCCACCCUGAGCCAUCCCUAUUUCAGGGUUCCUCCCCCCAGACAGCCAUCAUCCUGGUUUUUAAUCACUUCAGAUUGGUUUGCCUCUGCCUACCUCUCUGGCUUCUUUCCUUCCUUCCCUCCCCCUUCUCUGACUUCUUUCCCGAAACAUAUUUGAUUACACUGUCUGAAGAUGUCA
Cricetulus griseus (Chinese hamster) is the source of this 3523-nucleotide non-coding RNA. The record is from RefSeq and is a predicted model, not a curated record. NCBI's taxonomy places the organism in Eukaryota, Metazoa, Chordata, Mammalia, Rodentia, Cricetidae.